RNAcentral lists this ribosomal RNA (490 nucleotides) under uncultured bacterium. RNAcentral describes it as "partial 16S ribosomal RNA". It matches the Rfam family "Bacterial small subunit ribosomal RNA", at positions 28 to 507 of the family's 1533-position model. The record is from RNAcentral.
GAUGAACGCUAGCUACAGGCUUAACACAUGCAAGUCGCGGGGCAGCAUGGGGGUUGCUUGCAACUCCCGAUGGCGACCGGCGCACGGGUGAGUAACGCGUAUCCAACCUGCCCUUCACCACCGUAUAACCCGGCGAAAGUCGGACUAAUACCGUAUGUUUUCCAUUGACGGCCUCCGAUUUGGACGAAAGGCUUUGCGGUGAAGGCUGGGGUUGCGGGCGAUUAGCCAGACGGCGGGGUAACGGCCCUACUUGGCCACGAUAGGUAGGGGUUCUGAGAGGAAGGUCCCCCACAGUGGAACUGAGACACGGACGAGACUCCUACGGAAGGGAGCAGUGAGGAAGAUUGGAGAAGGGGAGAAAGCCUGAAGCAGCCAAGUAGCGUGAAGGAUGACGGCGCUAUGGGUUGUAAACUGCUUUUAGGAGGGGAUAAAGUGGCCCAAGUGUGGGCUUUUGCAGGUACCGAAUGAAUAAGGACCGGCUAAUUCCGUG